CUCCUACGGGAGGCAGCAGUCGAGAAUCUUGGGCAAUGCGCGAAAGCGUGACCCAGCAAUGCCGCGUGCAGGAUGAAGGCCUUCGGGUUGUAAACUGCUGUCACCCGGGACGAAGAAUUGACGGUACCGGGAGAGGAAGCCACGGCUAACUACGUGCCAGCAGCCGCGGUAAUACGUAGGUGGCGAGCGUUGUUCGGAUUUAUUGGGCGUAAAGGGUCUGUAUGGGGUUUGCUAAGUCUGAUGUGAAAUCCCGUGGCUCAACCACGGAACUGCAUUGGAGACUGGCGGACUAUAGUUCUGGAGAGGUAAGCGGAAUUCCGUGUGUAACGGUGGAAUGC
Molecule: ribosomal RNA, 338 nt
Filed under: uncultured bacterium
Lineage: Bacteria
Description: bacterial SSU rRNA
Rfam family: Bacterial small subunit ribosomal RNA
Source: RNAcentral